CUCUUCAACCUCAGGACUUGCAGAACUAAGAGAGUGCCGUCCUAAGGUUGUUGAGUU
RNAcentral lists this microRNA precursor (57 nucleotides) under Oryctolagus cuniculus (rabbit). RNAcentral's name for it is "microRNA ocu-mir-676 precursor". Its record names the gene ocu-mir-676. It matches the Rfam family "mir-676 microRNA precursor family", at positions 10 to 66 of the family's 73-position model. The record is from miRBase by way of RNAcentral. Lineage: Eukaryota; Metazoa; Chordata; Mammalia; Lagomorpha; Leporidae.